GACAGAGCGAUUAGCGGGCUCAGAUGCCUGACCCCGCGUGCGCCUUCCGGACCGGAGAAGCCGGAGAUCUUCAAAGGCACUCAAGAAAGAUGGCCAAGUGGGGGCCGUUCCAGGCGAGGGGACUUGGAGCCAAGUCCCCAAGGAAGGGGGAGACUUCCUAGGAUGAGCUUGCACGUGUUGCUGAAGGAAGCCUCCAUGUUGGAGAGACCCAUAUGGCAAAGGACUGAAAGCAGGCUGUGGCCAACAGCUGGUUAGAAACGAAGACCUUAAGACCCUAGUAAACUAAGAUCCAGCAGCCCCCAGGCCCUGAAUUCUGCCAAUGAUCAGUUCUUUCAGAUCUUAAUAGAUAACCGUCGUUUUUAUCUCAUACUAUGGCUGGUCAAAGAACCAUGUGAAGAGAGGGAGUGACAGCCCCACCAUACUCUUCUUCACUUCUACUGGCAUUAUUAUUAUAAAGUUUAACUGGUGUCUUCAUGGAAUCUUCUUCAGCCACUUGUCCUUUUUUUAAAAGGCUUAUUUCAUUAAGCAAGAUUGUUCACUGUGAGUGUAUCCAAUGUAAUUGAUUUUGGUAGACUCAUCUUGUAUCUUGUAACCCUGCUGAUUUUCAGAAAGGAUGUCAAGACCAUCCAAUGGGGAAAUAAUAGUCUUUUCAAAACUGGUGCUGGGACAACUGGUUAGCCAUAAGCCAAAGAAUAAAAUUAGAUCCCUGCUUCACUAGAUUAAAAAAAAAAAACUCAAAAUGGAUCAAAGACCUAAAUGUGAAAACUAAAUCCAUAAAACUCAUAGAAGAAAAUAGGAGUAAACCUUCAUGACCUUGCGCUUGGCAAAAAAAAAUUCUUAGAUAUGACACCUAAAGCAUGAGCAACAAAAGAGAGAAAAUAAAUAAAUCAAAAUUCAGCAAAAUUAUGAUUUAUGCUUCAAUGAAUACCAUCAAGAAAGCAAAAAGACAACCCACGGAACAGAAGAAAAUAUUUGCAAAUUCUACAUCUGAUAAGGGACUUGUAUCUAGGAUGUGUAAAGACAAAUAUAUAAAGACUCACAAUGAAAAAUAACCCAAUUUUUUUAAAUGGGUAAAAGAGAUGAGCAAACAUUACUCCAAAAACUACUAUACAAAUGGCUAAUAAGUACAUGAAAAACUGCAUCAUUAGUCAUCAAAUAAAUACAAAUCAAAACCUCAGUGAAAUACCACUCCGUACCCAUGAGGAGGCUAUAUAAAAAGUCAGACAAACAAGUGUUGGUGAGGAUGUGAGAAAAUUGGAGCCUCCAUACACUGCUGGUGGGAGUGUAAAACGGUGUAGCUUCUUUGGAAAGCAGUCAGAUGGUUCUUCACAUGAUUAAAAUACAGAGUUACCAUAUGUUUUAGCAAUUUUACUCCUAAGUAUAUAUAUACCCAAGAGAAAUGAAAACAUCCGUUUACACAGAAACUUAUACAUGAAUGUAUGCAGAAGUGUUAUUCAGAAUAGCCAUAAGGUGGAAACAACCCAAAUGUCCAUCAGUUGAUGAAUGAAUAAACAUAAUGUGGUAUAUCUAUACAACAGAAUGUGUUUGGCUACAAAAAGUAAUGAAGUCCUGAUACGUGGUACAACAUGCAUUGACAGCAUUAUCCCAAGUGAAAGAAACCAGUC
Canis lupus familiaris (dog) is the source of this 1625-nucleotide long non-coding RNA. RefSeq lists it as uncharacterized. The record is from RefSeq and is a predicted model, not a curated record. The transcript has 4 exons. NCBI's taxonomy places the organism in Eukaryota, Metazoa, Chordata, Mammalia, Carnivora, Canidae.